AAAGGAAUAGACGGGGACCCGCACAAGCAGUGGAGCAUGUGGUUUAAUUCGAAGCAACGCGAAGAACCUUACCAGGUCUUGACAUCCUUUGACCACCCAAGAGAUUGGGCUUCCCCUUCGGGGGCAAAGUGACAGGUGGUGCAUGGUUGUCGUCAGCUCGUGUCGUGAGAUGUUGGGUUAAGUCCCGCAACGAGCGCAACCCUUGAUCUUAGUUGCCAGCAUUGAGUUGGGCACUCUAAGGUGACUGCCGGUGACAAACCGGAGGAAGGUGGGGAUGACGUCAAAUCAUCAUGCCCCUUAUGACCUGGGCUACACACGUGCUACAAUGGAUGGUACAAAGGGCAGCGAAACCGCGAGGUGAAGCCAAUCCCAUAAAGCCAUUCUCAGUUCGGAUUGCAGGCUGCAACUCGCCUGCAUGAAGCCGGAAUUGCUAGUAAUCGCGGAUCAGCAUGCCGCGGUGAAUACGUUCCCGGGUCUUGUACACACCGCCCGU
RNAcentral lists this ribosomal RNA (493 nucleotides) under uncultured bacterium. Its description in RNAcentral is "bacterial SSU rRNA". It matches the Rfam family "Bacterial small subunit ribosomal RNA", at positions 903 to 1397 of the family's 1533-position model. The record is from RNAcentral.